GGCCUCGGGUACGUCUGGUGACGUUGGGUGACUGUCUAUCACCUUCAGGCGGGUUCGAUUCCCGUCGAGGCCG
This 73-nucleotide transfer RNA is filed under the name Kofleriaceae bacterium. Its description in RNAcentral is "tRNA-Asp". The record is from RNAcentral. Lineage: Bacteria; Pseudomonadati; Myxococcota; Haliangiales; Kofleriaceae.